CUUGCUUACACCAAGACAACAUCUGUUAAAUCCAGAUCAUUUUGAGCCUAACAUCUAGCCCACAUAACUCUUAUGCCACCCUUAACCCUCCGAUUUUAAAUAAAACAUUUUUUUUAACUUUAGUACAGGAGAUAGAAAAAUUUCCAGGCGCUUCAGAUAUAGUACCGCAAGGGAAUGAUGAAAUAAAAAUGAAACAACUUUAAGCCCAAAAUAGCAGAGAUAUCCCCUCGUACCUUUUGCAUCAUGGUCUAGCCAGUCUAAUCGAGCAAAAAGUAAUUUAAGUCCGAUACCCCGAAACUAAGCGAGCUACUUCAAAACAGCCUAAUAGGGCCAACCCGUCUCUGUUGCAAAAGAGUGGGAAGAUUUUUAAGUAGAGGUGAUAAGCCUAUCGAGCCUAGAGAUAGCUGGUUGUUUAGGAAAAGAGUUUUAGCUCUACCUUAAGUUUUUUUAUUUCUUAAAUAAGCUCACAAAACUUAAGAGCUAUUUAAAUAAGGCACAGCUUAUUUAAUAAAGGAUACAACCUCUUAUAAUGGGUAAAUAAGGACAACAAUGAUAUAGUGGGCCUAAAAGCAGCCACCUAACCAAAAGCGUUAUAGCUUAAUCUUAAUACACCCCUAAUUUUUUAAUUAUACUCAACCCUUUACUUGUACUAAACUAUUUUAUACUUCUAUAAAAGCUAUUAUGCUAGAACUAGUAACAAGAAAUUGAUUUUCUCCUAAAUGUACAUGUAACCCAGAAUACUUAUCCUGACAAUUAACGUAAAUGCCCUAUUGUAGUAACAAACAUCCAGAAAACCCUACAUCCUCAAAACGUUAACCUCACACAAGAGCAUUACAGGAAAGAUUAAAAGAGAAAGAAGGAACUCGGCAAACCUUAACCCCGCCUGUUUACCAAAAACAUCGCCUCUUGAAUAUAUAAGAGGUCCAGCCUGCCCAGUGACAAAGUUUAACGGCCGCGGUACCCUAACCGUGCAAAGGUAGCAUAAUCACUUGUUCUUUAAAUAAGGACUAGUAUCAACGGCAUCACGAGGGUUACACUGUCUCCUUUCUCUAAUCAGUGAAACUGAUCUCCCCGUGAAGAAGCGGGGAUUUUUUUAUAAGACGAGAAGACCCCAUGGAGCUUUAAACAAGAUACUCACCCCUAUUAUAAAUCAACUAAUAACAAAUCCUGAGUAUUAGCUUUAGGUUGGGGAGACCGCGGAGUAAAAUUUAACCUCCACAACAAAUGGGCUAAGCCCUUAUCCACGAGCCACAGCUCUAAGAAUUAAAAACUAAUGUUUCAUGACCCGAUUAUUCGAUCAACGAACCAAGUUACCCUGGGGAUAACAGCGCAAUCUACUUCAAGAGCCCAUAUCGACAAGUAGGUUUACGACCUCGAUGUUGGAUCAGGGUAUCCAAGCGGUGCAGCU
Molecule: ribosomal RNA, 1408 nt
Filed under: Hylarana milleti
Lineage: Eukaryota; Metazoa; Chordata; Amphibia; Anura; Ranidae
Description: partial 16S ribosomal RNA
Rfam family: Bacterial large subunit ribosomal RNA
Source: RNAcentral